UGGGGUAUCGCCAAGCGGUAAGGCGCUGGGUUUUGAUCUCAGCAUUCCUAGGUUCGAAUCCUAGUACCCCAGCCA
RNAcentral lists this transfer RNA (75 nucleotides) under Haemophilus influenzae. Its description in RNAcentral is "tRNA-Gln". It matches the Rfam family "tRNA". Rfam says of the family: Transfer RNA (tRNA) molecules are approximately 80 nucleotides in length. The record is from RNAcentral. Lineage: Bacteria; Pseudomonadati; Pseudomonadota; Gammaproteobacteria; Pasteurellales; Pasteurellaceae.